RNAcentral lists this microRNA precursor (112 nucleotides) under Hordeum vulgare subsp. vulgare (domesticated barley). RNAcentral describes it as "mir-399 microRNA precursor family". It matches the Rfam family "mir-399 microRNA precursor family". Rfam says of the family: mir-399 was identified in both Arabidopsis thaliana and Oryza sativa computationally and was later experimentally verified. mir-399 is thought to target mRNAs coding for a phosphatase transporter. The mature sequence is excised from the 3' arm of the hairpin. The record is from Rfam by way of RNAcentral. Lineage: Eukaryota; Viridiplantae; Streptophyta; Magnoliopsida; Poales; Poaceae.
AGGUGCAUCGCAGGGCAGCUGCUCCAUUGGCAGAGAGAUGGAUGUGGAUUUAGCCCUCUUUGCUUCGCUCUUUUGCCUGUCUGCCAAAGGAGAUUUGCCCCGCGAUCCAUCA